AUGAACGCUGGCGGCGUGCCUAACACAUGCAAGUCGAACGGAGAUUAACGCUGAUGAAGCUUCGGCAGAUUCUUGUUAAAUCUUAGUGGCGGACGGGUGAGUAACGCGUGGGCAACCUGCCUCAUACUGGGGGAUAACAGCUGGAAACGACUGUUAAUACCGCAUAAGCGCACGGUAUCGCAUGAUACAGUGUGAAAAACUCCGGUGGUAUGAGAUGGGCCCCGCGUCAGAUUAGCCAGUUGGCAGGGUAACGGCCUACCAAAGCGACGAUCUGUAGCCGGCCUGAGAGGGCGGACGGCCACAUUGGGACUGAGACACGGCCCAAACUCCUACGGGAGGCAGCAGUGGGGGAUAUUGCACAAUGGAGGAAACUCUGAUGCAAGCGACGCCGCGUGAGUGAAGAAGUAUUUCGGUAUGUAAAGCUCUAUCAGCAGGGAAGAUCAUGACGGUACCCGACUAAGAAGCCCCGGCUAAUUACGUGCCAGCCGCCGC
RNAcentral lists this ribosomal RNA (492 nucleotides) under uncultured bacterium. Its description in RNAcentral is "bacterial SSU rRNA". It matches the Rfam family "Bacterial small subunit ribosomal RNA", at positions 29 to 518 of the family's 1533-position model. The record is from RNAcentral.